GUGUGACUUCAUUAGCUACAUUUCCAAGAGGACUCUGUUCCCUGCAAUCCCUCCUGAGAAGAGCAGCUGACCUCUUUGGAAAGCGUGAACUUCAAACACUGCUUGCAAACAACCCAUGCUCCCGGACUGGACUAAGAAAAGUUUUUUGAAAUUUAAAUGUAUGUGCAUGUACGUGAUAAACUUAAGAAAAGCAGGCUAAAUUUUCUAGGAAAAGCUACUUUGGGGGAAAAUAUUUACUUCCUCGGUGGAAAGAAGAAAAACUCCACGCUGAGUGCCAGAUUUUCCAAUACACACUUUAAUGACUGCAGAUUUAUGCACUGAGGCAGGUAGUAAAUCCCUCUUAGUAUUGAUCCAGCUUUAACUGGUGGAUGACUGAGCGGUUCUAACCUGGCAAAACAGCAUGCCCAGAAAUGUCGUGUCGCAAAAUCCCAGGCAGCGCCUUGGAGAAAAAACAGAUUUCUUCAGGUCGUCCCCAGGAACUAGCACUGAAAGGUGUCUCUGCCCUGCAUAUGGCCGUAUUGUCCAGGUAUGAACUUUGAGGAUGCAUGCGGGGGUGUAGUUUCUAAUUAAGCCAGGACGUGGGGAAUCUGUUGUAACUUCACAGCCACAUCUUCUGUUGCACUCUUAGGUGCAUCUCUUACUUAAAUGUGUGUGUGUGUGUGUGUGUGCAGAAGGGGAAGGAGAAGUAGAGGAGCUGGUGUUUUCCUUCUCCCCAGACAUCCCGUUCUUGUUACCUUCUGUGUCCUUUCAUUUUGGAGAUGUUCACCCUCCUAAAUUUAGUGACAUUUUAGACAUCUGUAUGUGACUUUGUUUUGCUGCUUUUUACCUUUUUCCAGCCUUUUCAAUACUUAGCCAGUGUUGGAAAAUGGAUAGUGCAAUAAGUGGGAUCCGUUUAAUUAUGUGCCUUCAUAAUGCUUAACAGUGGAAAUUUCAGAGCGUUACAAGUUACUGGUAAUUAAUUUUCCUCUUCUGACUUCUAUCAAGAUCAGCUUGAAACCCAUUGUGAGGGAGGGAGGGGACUUGGUCUGUGCUUCCCCUUCUGCUCUUGGCCUCCUGUGAUUUGGUCCAGACACGAAUGUGUAGCAGGAAAACAACCCCUAUUUUCAGUUCUUCAGUUUUCAAAGACAGCAAGUCCCCAGAAUCUGUUUGCAAGCAUUUUUGAGUUAAUCAAUCGAAAAACUGAACAUCCUGUCAAAAGUGACAUUUUCUUGGAUGGAAAUCGAUUUAUUUAUUUUCUUUGAAACUUCACAUUUCACGAGGAUGACUUGAGUCAGAACAUUUUUACCAGCUCCUCUGAAGACUUGGUCAUGAGGAAACCAUCAAAAUGUAUGGGAGGAAAUUUCAUAAAUAACAAGAAAUGAAGCAACGCCUAUGCAACGAAGCAGGAAAUGAGUGCUGGCAUCUGAAGCUUUGGUGCUUUACACAUCCAAGGAGGGUUAUUACUUUGUUUUAUUACUGCAGGUUGAAAACAACCCAAACCUUUCCCAAGAGGUGAAGUUCAAACCACUACAUUUGAUUUUUUUUUUUCAGCUGUCUCACUUUUUACUGGUUUAUUUUAAACUCAGUGUAUGCAUACAGCAUUGGAGGAUUUCCUCUGUAAUGGGAGGAAGCAGUUUUUGUUGUAAAAGCCUGUCUGAACUACUGGAUAUCUGGUGGUUGGAACUUCAAAGCUUUUCCCCCAAGCAGUUGGGCAUUUUUUGGUAAAUGAGGAAACUCCAGCCAUAUUCUGCAUCUUUGUCUGGAGGACUGUGUGGCUUUUUCAAUUUGCACACCCCCAGAUAUCACCUUCUGCAGCCUGAAAGUCUUGUUGGCAGUGCUGUCUGAUGGUCAGAGAAUGCUGGCAACAAAGGACACCUUUCGUUAAGCUGUGUAAUGUAUUUGGAAAAAAAAAUAGUAGUAUGGUUUUGGUUGCAAAAGCUCUUCUCGUAGUUAGAUUUCGAAGCUAAGGACAUUUGCUGACAGUUCAGUUGGAAGUGUACCCAUUAGAGCAUCUUUGAAAGAAAAUAAUAUGCUAUAAGCUGGUGCCUGUAGCAUAGUGGGAGCGUUGGCAAAGGGAGAGCUGGUGAUAAGAGUCUUAGCUCGUGGAGGAAAACGAGAGCCAGGUCCUUUAUAGCCUGUGAAACACAGUAAGGUUAGUGAGGGGCUAAGAUUAUAUUGUUCCAUGAGACUAAUAUCUUUAUUGAGUUUUAUGUUUUCUGGUUCCCAGUACAGCUAUCAGUCUUGUUCUCACGUUCGCUGUUGGGCAGGGUUUUGCAGGGCUCCUGGAGUAGCUCAGGACCGAGAGAUCAGUAAGGGAACAACGGUUUUGUCAGGUUUUCCCCCUUUAGCAGCAUGUUCCUCAUCUUCGAGUGGUCGUUUGAGCAAUUGCUGGAGCACGUCUUAAAUACAGGAGAAAAGCUCUCUCAGUCUUCAGAAGCGUGAGUUUAAAACAAUCAAUAAUUUCUGUGUUUAAAAAUGUUUGGAGAAAGUCACAAUUUCACUGUGUUUGAGAAUUCAGAAGCAGUGCUUCUGGUUCCACAGCUUAAGAAGAAUGAUACGCUGCACUGGGGAAGAGAAGUGCCAUCCUUGCUUUCCCCAUCUGCAUCUGUUCUGUCCCCAUUUAUUCCUACUGCAAGGGUCAGAAGACAUCAGCACCUUUCCUGUUAGAAACCAUCAUGCUUUCAGGUUAAAUUUAUUUAUGAAGGAGAUAGAUCCAGCCAUGCUUACGUGAACGCUGGUUUAAAGAGCCACCUCUGGCUUUUUCUGCAAGGUAAGUAUGUGGAGAAGCUGUGGACCCUCUCAGCUGUUGUUUUGCUACACAAGCACAGCAAGUUCCUUCAGUUUCUUCUCCUAAACUGGGCUGGCCACUAGCCUUCAAGUAGCCCUAGUCCAUACCUUUCCCCCCUGCCCUAGUUUUGUGCAGUGCCCACCCAAUGGCAAUCCCAUCUGUCCUUCAUUGCCAGCUGCAUGGAUUUGGCUUUUUCACAGCACCUUCAGACUGCUGCGUGGUAAUUGCACAAUCAGCCUAUCCUCCACAGCCUUCUUCAGCCAUCUUUUCAAGCAGCAAGUGAUUUUUUGUCAGCAGUUCCAAAUUACCACCAUGGACACCGCUCAGCUCCGUCCCAAGGCAUACCCCAUUAAUUCUGGCUGCAAAAUGUUCCAACUUUGCUGUGGGAUGGCAGUUCUUAUCAUCAGCAAAUCGGAUCGGCACACUCCAAAAGUCACGCAGAGGCCCUUAAUUUAAAUAAUACAGAAAAUUAUUCCCCAAACUGUUUUUUUACCUUCCAGACUGGUUCAUUCCUCCCCAGUGCAAUCUGUUGCUGUCCCUCCUUUGAGCUGAUUUCUUAGCUGCUUUCAAUUCCUCUGCUAAUCCCCAUUCUCUCCAUUUUGAGUAUUUCCCUUGUGGCAUUAUAACCAACACUUUAUUGAAGUUUGAAUAGACUCCAUUCUUGCAUGUCCUUUAUCUAAGAAAUGAGUUAUCUUUCUAGAGAAAGCUACCAACUAAUUCUUGUAUGAUCUCUCUUUGGUAAGCUCAUGCUAUGCUUUUUCUUCUUUUUGUGUUUGUCAGCCUUUUAUUGUUCUUUCCUUCAAAAGUUGUUCCUCUGCUGUCAAAUUAACAUUUUGUAAUUGCCUCCAAUUCACCCUUCUUCCUCACUUUCAUGCUCUGUAGAUUGAUAUUUUUCACUCUUAUGACACUACUGUGAGUUGCUAGAUUUAAUAAAAAUCUUCUCUGUUAGCACAGUGAUCUCAUGAGAUUUGUAUAAAAAAAAUAAAAAGGCUCCCAAGGUGGAAAGCGAGCUUCUGGUGGCAAAGGAAUUAGAGCCAAAAGAGAUCAAGAAAGUGGAUUUCCACUCCCAGAGCUCAGAAACAAAUCUCUGCCCUUUCCAUCUUCCACUGGAUGAUGUGCUCCUUGCUCUUUGCACUUGGAAGUCUGUACGUGAGGCUCAGUUAAUUCAAGCUCUUUACCUUUUGGGGUCUGGAAGGACUCAAGUUCCCUGGGAAUAGAUACAAGAUGCUUGCUUUGGGAGGGACAAAACAGGAUUUCACCUGGGAAAAAGACCAAGAUAUCUUUGUGCCAUGGUGGGCACAGCUCCCCGUGGGAAGGUUUGGGGAAGGCAGGCUUCUGAGUUGGCAGGUACUCGUUGGUCUUGAGGAGUACACUGUGCUGGACAACAAUGCUUUUACAAGCAAUCCCAGGGCUUUUUCUUCACAGUUAUUGAUGCUUUGGGGAGGGGCUGUGGGACACCAUGCUGUUUUUGUUUGUUUGUUUGUUUGUUUGUUUUUAACCAUUGUUUAUAAUUAUGUUCCACCAUUGUCUAAAGCAGGCAGUAUGCCACCGUGCUUAGUGCUGUACCAGCAUGCUGAUGAUUCCUGCCCUGAGGGAUUUCUAGUCUAAGGAUUACCAGAAUGCGAUCUGGAUUUCUUGGCUGGAGCUUGCGGAACAAGAACGAUGUAACACCAGCCAGGAGCUGCAAGCUGAAACGAGAGUUCACCGUGGAGCCAAGCAGCUGUGCUUGCUGUACACCAGGGGAUCUGCAGCAACCUGCGGUGUUACGGGGGUCAGUGUGUCGUUGUGAGAGCAUGUCCAUGUCAGAUCGCUGAAGGAUGCCCCGGCGUAUGGAGUGCCCUGUGUACGAGGUGUGUACAGGACGCAGUGGAUAAGUGCUGCUUGUACAGUCAGACAAGUGACCUUGGCCGGAGCGGUGUGUGCACAUCACGAAUGGGAGGCCGGCAGCUUUUGUCUGAUAUUCAUCUGGCUUCAGCAUCCAGAUGUUUCAUGUCACGUAUUUCUUUCCUGGUACUGAGUUCUCCUGGAGAUUCUUAUGAAGCAAAGACACGAUCCUCUUCCCAUUCCUGUUUCAGAAGACUCUGCAGGACAUCCAUUGUGCCAUAAUAAUGUGACAGUCAUUAGGAACGCAGCUGGUAUCACGAGUUCUGGUUGAUCACAAAGUCAGAAGGCUGCCAGGCUUGCUGAAACAGCAGCAGUGCUCUGUUCUGAUGUGUUUGAAUGGAAUAUGGAGAGGUUUGUGUCUGGACACCUCCAGAAGGACAAAUUUAACCCGCUCAGGUAAAAUGGAUUAGGGCAAGGUUCGACUUGUGCAGAAUUCCUUUGAACAUCUAAAGCUCCUGUUGACAGCGGCGUGCUUUGUACAUGAAUUUGGCUCAGCAAGAUGGGGAUUCUGCACUGCCGUUUCCAGAGCUCGUGCUGCCCGAAGGAUGAAAUGAAGCUGUCACUGACGGAGCCCACCAGGUUAGGGGGCUAGUAGUGGGAUGCUUGAAAGACAACAAACCUAGACAGACUGACUGCAACUCCUAAAACCAAACACAGGUGGGUAUCAUGCUCUACAGCACUGACCCCUUCCCUGGCAAAACCAUACCUGCUACCUUGUCCCAGCUGGCUGAUCCAACAGUAGACUGAAAAAAUCUAAGGACGUGGAUUGGACUGGAUCUUCUCUGCCUUUUUUUCCAGAGGCAAAGGCACAUCACCCCAUUUCUUCUGAGUGACCCACACCUUCCAUUCAAGCACCCAGAUAACUGCCCAGGUUUCCAUGAGACCUCCAUUUCCAACAGGACUUGAAGCACCAUGGAAGAAUUAUCAGAAAGCUUUCUGGAGAGCUUGGACCUGCAUCCAGCCCCAGUUUUGGUCCAGGAGCAUGCAGCAGCUGCAGAAGAGCAGCCUCCUCUCCACUGCCACUGCACAGCUAAGAAGCUGAAUUUCUGUCCCUGCCUAUCCCCAAGGAAAAGAAGGCUGUGAGGUCUCUUAAGGAAUCUGCUCCUAUGUAUUUGGCCAACGUGUGGCACUUCUCUCUUCACUGAAGCAGACUUAAGGCUUCCUGGAGAUCCCUCAUAGAUAGCUGGAUGGAGCAGCAGUGACAACUCUUCCGUGUCCAGCAGGCAGCAGUAAUUAAUCUGUUUAGUGAUGUGCUCUGGGUCAAUGGCUUUGUCCUGCAAGAAAAAG
Non-coding RNA from Anas platyrhynchos (mallard), 5938 nucleotides. NCBI's taxonomy places the organism in Eukaryota, Metazoa, Chordata, Aves, Anseriformes, Anatidae. The record is from RefSeq and is a predicted model, not a curated record.